AUGGCCGCCUCCUCCAGCGUCGUGAACUCUGGCCUCUCCGGCCAGAUCACCGAGAAGCUGACCCGCACCAACUUCAUCCUGUGGCGCACGCAGAUCACGCCACAGCUCCGAGGUGCGGGCUUCUUCGGCUACGUCGACGGCAUCAUGCCAGAGCCGGGCAAAGUCAUCGUCACGAAGGACAAGGACGGGAAGCAGGAGUCUACACCGAACCCCCUUCAUUCGAUCUAG
Molecule: ribosomal RNA, 228 nt
Filed under: Triticum aestivum (bread wheat)
Lineage: Eukaryota; Viridiplantae; Streptophyta; Magnoliopsida; Poales; Poaceae
Description: partial small subunit ribosomal RNA
Source: RNAcentral